GCUCGGGCUCGGGCUCGGGCUCGGGUUCGGGCUCGGUUCGGGUUCGGGUUCGGGUUCGGGUUCGGUUCGGGUUCGGUUCGGGUUCGGGUUCGGGUUC
Non-coding RNA from Turdus rufiventris (rufous-bellied thrush), 97 nucleotides. NCBI's taxonomy places the organism in Eukaryota, Metazoa, Chordata, Aves, Passeriformes, Turdidae. The record is from the annotation of a GenBank genome assembly.